This 492-nucleotide ribosomal RNA is filed under the name uncultured bacterium. RNAcentral's name for it is "partial 16S ribosomal RNA". It matches the Rfam family "Bacterial small subunit ribosomal RNA", at positions 29 to 507 of the family's 1533-position model. The record is from RNAcentral.
AGUGAACGCUGGCGGUAGGCCUAACACAUGCAAGUCGAACGGCAGCACAGUAAGAGCUUGCUCUUACGGGUGGCGAGUGGCGGACGGGUGAGGAAUACUUCGGAAUCUACUUUUUCGUGGGGGAUAACGUAGGGAAACUUACGCUAAUACCGCAUACGACCUACGGGUGAAAGCAGGGGAUCUUCGGACCUUGCGCGAUUGAAUGAGCCGAUGUCGGAUUAGCUAGUUGGCGGGGUAAAGGCCCACCAAGGCGACGAUCCGAAGCUGGUCUGAGAGGAUGAUCAGCCACACUGGAACUGAGACACGGUCCAGACUCCUACGGGAGGCAGCAGUGGGGAAUAUUGGACAAUGGGCGCAAGCCUGAUCCAGCCAUACCGCGUGGGUGAAGAAGGCCUUCGGGUUGUAAAGCCCUUUUGUUGGGAAAGAAAAGCAGCAGGUUAAUACCCCGCUGUUCUGACGGUACCCAAAGAAUAAGCACCGGCUAACUUCGUG